AUACGUAGGGGGCAAGCGUUAUCCGGAUUUACUGGGCGUAAAGGGCUCGUAGGCGGUUCGUCGCGUCCGGUGUGAAAGUCCAUCGCUUAACGGUGGAUCCGCGCCGGGUACGGGCGGGCUUGAGUGCGGUAGGGGAGACUGGAAUUCCCGGUGUAACGGUGGAAUGUGUAGAUAUCGGGAAGAACACCAAUGGCGAAGGCAGGUCUCUGGGCCGUUACUGACGCUGAGGAGCGAAAGCGUGGGGAGCGAACAGGAUUAGAUACCCUGGUAGUCCACGCCGUAAACGGUGGAUGCUGGAUGUGGGGCCCGUUCCACGGGUUCCGUGUCGGAGCUAACGCGUUAAGCAUCCCGCCUGGGGAGUACGGCCGCAAGGCUAAAACUCAAAGAAAUUGACGGGGGCCCGCACAAGCGGCGGAGCAUGCGGAUUAAUUCGAUGCAACGCGAAGAACCUUACCUGGGCUUGACAUGUUCCCGACGGUCGUAGAGAUACGGCUUCCCUUCGGGGCGGGUUCACAGGUGGUGCAUGGUCGUCGUCAGCUCGUGUCGUGAGAUGUUGGGUUAAGUCCCGCAACGAGCGCAACCCUCGCCCCGUGUUGCCAGCGGAUUAUGCCGGGAACUCACGGGGGACCGCCGGGGUUAACUCGGAGGAAGGUGGGGAUGACGUCAGAUCAUCAUGCCCCUUACGUCCAGGGCUUCACGCAUGCUACAAUGGCCGGUACAACGGGAUGCGACGCGGCGACGCGGAGCGGAUCCCUGAAAACCGGUCUCAGUUCGGAUCGCAGUCUGCAACUCGACUGCGUGAAGGCGGAGUCGCUAGUAAUCGCGAAUCAGCAACGUCGCGGUGAAUGCGUUCCCGGGCCUUGUACACACCGCCCGUCAAGUCAUGAAAGUGGGCAGCACCCGAAGCCGGUGGCCUAACCCCUUGUGGGAUGGAGCCGUCUAAGGUGAGGCUCGUGAUUGGGACU
Molecule: ribosomal RNA, 965 nt
Filed under: uncultured bacterium
Lineage: Bacteria
Description: bacterial SSU rRNA
Rfam family: Bacterial small subunit ribosomal RNA
Source: RNAcentral